GUCUCGGUGGCGCAAUUGGUAAGUUCAACUUCAACAACACAAUUUCGUAUACAAGAUUCUAAUUCACCUAAAAGGUUAGCGCGUAUGACUGUUAAUCAUGAGGUUGAGAGUUCGAUCCUCUCCUGGGACG
This is a non-coding RNA of Aspergillus leporis, 130 nucleotides long. NCBI's taxonomy places the organism in Eukaryota, Fungi, Ascomycota, Eurotiomycetes, Eurotiales, Aspergillaceae. The record is from the annotation of a GenBank genome assembly.